GGUGUAGCUCAGUGGUAGAGUGCAUGCAUAGCAUGCAUGAGGCUCGAGGUUCAAUCCCAAGCACC
This 65-nucleotide transfer RNA is filed under the name Heterocephalus glaber (naked mole-rat). It matches the Rfam family "tRNA". From Rfam's summary of the family: Transfer RNA (tRNA) molecules are approximately 80 nucleotides in length. Their secondary structure includes four short double-helical elements and three loops (D, anti-codon, and T loops). Lineage: Eukaryota; Metazoa; Chordata; Mammalia; Rodentia; Bathyergidae. The record is from Rfam by way of RNAcentral.